This 75-nucleotide transfer RNA is filed under the name Thermoleophilia bacterium. Its description in RNAcentral is "tRNA-Pro". It matches the Rfam family "tRNA". From Rfam's summary of the family: Transfer RNA (tRNA) molecules are approximately 80 nucleotides in length. Their secondary structure includes four short double-helical elements and three loops (D, anti-codon, and T loops). Further hydrogen bonds mediate the characteristic L-shaped molecular structure. tRNAs have two regions of fundamental functional importance: the anti-codon, which is responsible for specific mRNA codon recognition, and the 3' end, to which the tRNAs corresponding amino acid is attached (by aminoacyl-tRNA synthetases). tRNAs cope with the degeneracy of the genetic code in two manners: having more than one tRNA (with a specific anti-codon) for a particular amino acid; and 'wobble' base-pairing, i.e. permitting non-standard base-pairing at the 3rd anti-codon position. RNAcentral also lists the same sequence under 1 other name. Lineage: Bacteria; Bacillati; Actinomycetota; Thermoleophilia. The record is from RNAcentral.
CGGGACGUAGCUCAGCGUGGACAGAGCACCGCGUUUGGGUCGCGGAGGUCGCCGGUUCGACUCCGGCCGUCCCGA